Molecule: ribosomal RNA, 413 nt
Filed under: uncultured prokaryote
Description: bacterial SSU rRNA
Rfam family: Bacterial small subunit ribosomal RNA
Source: RNAcentral
GUGUCAGCCGCCGCGGUAAUACGGAGGAUGCAAGCGUUAUCCGGAAUCAUUGGGCGUAAAGAGUCCGUAGGUGGCACUUCAAGUCUGCUUUCAAAGACCGAAGCUCAACUUCGGAAAGGGAGUGGAAACUGAAGAGCUAGAGUAUAGUAGGGGUAGAGGGAAUUCCUAGUGUAGCGGUGAAAUGCGUAGAGAUUAGGAAGAACACCAGUGGCGAAGGCGCUCUACUGGGCAUAUACUGACACUGAGGGACGAAAGCUAGGGGAGCGAAAGGGAUUAGAUACCCCUGUAGUCCUAGCGGUAAACGAUGGAUACUAGGCGUAGUGCUGUUAGAAGGACUGUGCCGAAGCUAACGCGUUAAGUAUCCCGCCUGGGGAGUACGCACGCAAGUGUGAAACUCAAAGGAAUUGGCGGGG